GGGAAUAUUGGACAAUGGGCGAAAGCCUGAUCCAGCAAUGCCGCGUGGAUGAAGAAGGUUUUCGGAUUGUAAAGUCCUUUCGGCGGGGACGAUGAUGACGGUACCCGCAGAAGAAGCCCCGGCUAACUUCGUGCCAGCAGCCGCGGUAAUACGAAGGGGGCUAGCGUUGCUCGGAAUGACUGGGCGUAAAGGGCGCGUAGGCGGUAUGGACAGUCAGGUGUGAAAUUCCCGGGCUUAACCUGGGGACUGCAUUUGAUACGUUCAAACUAGAGUGUGGAAGAGGGUCGUGGAAUUCCCAGUGUAGAGGUGAAAUUCGUAGAUAUUGGGAAGAACACCGGUGGCGAAGGCGGCGACCUGGUCCAUUACUGACGCUGAGGCGCGAAAGCGUGGGGAGCAAAC
RNAcentral lists this ribosomal RNA (399 nucleotides) under uncultured bacterium. RNAcentral's name for it is "bacterial SSU rRNA". It matches the Rfam family "Bacterial small subunit ribosomal RNA", at positions 357 to 773 of the family's 1533-position model. The record is from RNAcentral.